Long non-coding RNA from Chinchilla lanigera (long-tailed chinchilla), 220 nucleotides. RefSeq lists it as uncharacterized. NCBI's taxonomy places the organism in Eukaryota, Metazoa, Chordata, Mammalia, Rodentia, Chinchillidae. The record is from RefSeq and is a predicted model, not a curated record. The transcript has 3 exons.
GAUGUCCUUUGCAUGCACUCUGCCAUUGGGAUGCCAUCUGCAGAGGCCAAACAGAUGAGGCUGCCUGAUCUUGGAUUCUCAGCCUCCAAAACUAGCUUACCUUCGGUCUGCCAUUUCCAAACACAGCAGUCUCUACUACCGAGAUGCAGGUAUCAUCCUCAGAUCUAAGUCAAUUAUGUUGCUCUACCAAGAACCAGCAAGUGGCUUCCCAUUUCAUCAA